Non-coding RNA from Schizosaccharomyces pombe (fission yeast), 501 nucleotides. Lineage: Eukaryota; Fungi; Ascomycota; Schizosaccharomycetes; Schizosaccharomycetales; Schizosaccharomycetaceae. The record is from the annotation of a GenBank genome assembly.
AAUCUUUUGAGCACUUUCUACAUACUUCUUCUCUGCUUCAGCUAUACUACGACGGUCAUGUUCACGCUCAUAGAGCUUUGCCAUCUUUUCAAUACCUUUUCGAUAUUGUUCCUCAACAGAUAAUUUGAACUCCAAUUGUUGUAAUAAGAAUGAUAUCUUUGAAAUAGUAAGAGGGGUAUCAUAAUUUAGCAAAUCCAAGUUAGAAUCGAUAUUAGAAGAAGUAGAGGAAAAGCUUUUAGCGGAUUUUGUAGUGCUAAAGGAUGGAUUCUUCUCAAUGCCAACGGACGGUUUCUCAGAAUUACUCUUUCGGACACCAUUUUUGCGAAGCUUUAGUUUUUCUAAGCGUUCUUCUAAAUAAAUAAUGCUCUUUUUUGAUUCUUCAAUAUUGCUAUGAAGUUGUUGGUGAACUGUCUGAUUCUGAGUCAAGCGCUUCAUGGAAAGGGCGCCAUGAAUAACUGAUCUUUCUCUUUCAAUUUUCCUAACAACUUCUGUUAUAGCCUC